CUGGGCGCGCGGGGAGGGGGCGAGGCCUGAGGCAGCCAGGUCCCUGGAGGGGGGGCGUGGGGCGCGGGCUGGCUGGAAGGGAAGGAGACACCCGGUAGCGCGCGCGCGCCAAGCCCUGAACUGGCGUCCUCUGUUCGCCUCAAGUUUUUUCCCCGACUUCUACGGGACGAGCUCCCUUAGGGAAUAUUUGAAUCCACCCCCAACCCCAAAAAAGUUGAUAAGCAUUGCCAUUCAAAUUGUGUGUGUUGUGUGCGCCACAUCUUUUGGGGCAGGGCUUACCUGGGGAUAGUACCGGAUUAAACCCUGUGGAGGCCCCCCUCUAGGUAGUCGAAAUAUUGGGGCCCCCGCCUGCAAAUGGUCUCCUUUUUAAAAUAAAUUUAUUUAUUUGAUUUUUUCAGAUUAAGAUUUUACAGUCACAUAUCCAGCAUACCACAUAAAAACAAGUUACCAAAGAAUCUCAUGGACCUCCCUCUUCCUCUUUGUGGGUCCUAUAGUUAAUCAUUUCCUCCUGCAUCUUUUAUGAUCAUCCAAAAUCUUUUACCACUCCAUUGUGUCCAAAAUUCGCCAUUAAACUACAAGUGACAUUCCAAUCCUACGAACGACUUUAACUGUUUACAAUGGUUUUUAAGAUAAGUUAUAAUUCCCCCCCUUCCUUAUUAAAAUUUUGGGCUUUCUGAUUUCUGAUUCUUCUGGUCAUUUCUGCCAUUUUGGCAAAGUCCAUCAAUUGAUCUGCCUUUCUUCUCUGGUAGGGACUUCUUUCCAUCUCUGGGCCAAUAACAUCCGCGCAGCCGUGGUCACAUACAUAAAUAAUCUUUUCUGCUCCCUUGGGAUUUUGGCAACUAGAAUUCCUAAAAGAAGGGUUUCGGGUUGUUUUUUUUAAAAGAAUAUGUUAUUUUAAACAUUUUUUCCAGCUCAUUAUAUAUCAUUUCCCAAAAUUAUUUUACUACCUUACAUUCCCACCACAUAUGAUAAAAGGUGCCUUCUUUUUCCUUGCAUUUCCAGCAUACAUUUGACCCCGUUUUAUCAAUUUUUGCUAAUUUACUAGGAGUUAAAUAUCAACGGUACAUAAUUUUCAUAUAAUUUUCUUUCAACGUGUAAUUUAAAAUGCACAGCAUGUUACCCGCAAAUGAUCUCCUAAUACGUUUUUUUAUUUUUACCGAACAACCAUUUUAACUCACCAAUUUUAUUACACAAUAUUAUUUUGAUCUGUUUCGAGGGGCCCCUAAAAGGCAUGGGGCCCAUAGGCUGAAGCCGGCUUUCUGCCUAUUUGGUAAUCUGGCACUGUCUGCCACCACCACCACCCGCCAUAUUUUAUUCAAGUUGGCACCCCUGGUCUGACGUGGCAGGAAAUGUUGCCCUGAGCCUGUCGGUUAUUACCCUGUAACAAGAGCGGUUUAAGCCAGAUCUCGACUGAGGGCCAUUCAGUUCAAUGGGACUUGCUUUUGAGGGGCUAUGAAGGCCGCAGUCCUAUGUGCAUGCCACCCAGGAAUAAGUCCCACUGAAGCCACUUGGAGUUACAGUACUUCAAAGUAAAACGAAGAAAUAUUAAAUUGUAUAGAUUUGGGGCUUGAUCUUACAACCCUGAAACUGGGAGCCUCGUGCUCUACCGACUGAGCUUACAGAACCUCCCUGUAAUGAGCAAAACCUAGCAAAUAUAAAUAUUAUUUUUAAAGGGCCUUUCUCCCCCCCCCCCACAGAGCUCAGCUCCAGCACCUCUUAGGUGGGCGUCAUUGCCAUUCUAAGAGAACAAGAGAGAUGAGCUCCAAGACCUGUUUUUUAAGGAAAAUAGCACUGGUUAAAAAGCAGCGUAAACAGACUGUGCAUUUCAGAUGUGCACAAGCCAUGCAGGAGUUUGUGCAGUUUAGCAUGUGCUAGGGAAAGCAGAAUGUCUAGAGAUGCACUUGCAAAGUGCCUAUUUUUGGUGACAGAAUUAAAAGAAUAACACAGCUGCUUCUCAGUGCCGUGUUUUAAGUUUCACUUGGUUAAUAGUACAAUUCUGUAUGCCCCACUGACUUCAUGGGAUUUGUUUCUUGGUGCAAAGGUAGUUAACCCCUCAUUUGGGGUAUUGAUGUGCUCUAUGCCACUCUAGUGAUUUUGGCUGCGGCAACCUUUUUUU
Molecule: non-coding RNA, 2116 nt
Organism: Zootoca vivipara (common lizard)
Lineage: Eukaryota; Metazoa; Chordata; Lepidosauria; Squamata; Lacertidae
Source: RefSeq, a predicted model, not a curated record